AUAAUUUAAUUUCCAGGAGGAAAAUGUGAGUAUAAUAUGAAAGACAGUUUAAUAAUAGAGAACAGGAGUUCAAAAAGUCAAAAUUGAAAAAAGUAGGAAAGAUUAGGAUAGGGAUACAGGAAAGAUAGAGCUAAUAUGUGUGGGUGUGGGACACCAUGGAGUGGCAGUUGUAGGCAGCCUACUUGGAAUCAUAGGGAUUCUGAGUAAAGUCAAAGGGCAGCAAUUGUCAUAUCUCUUAGAGUAAAAAAAGUAACAUUGAUUUAAUGACCAAUUCUGGAGAAAGAAUUGAUAAAAUAUUACAGUGGUGGAAUUAUACAUGUGCAGUUGCAGGACAGAAGUCCAGUUCCUGGUCCUGCCUGCUAGUAAAGGCAGGGGUCUAUGGUCCUAAGGCCAGGCUGGCUAUAAAAAAUUGAGAAAUGUUUAAAGUACUUACCCUCAUUCAGAUCAUCUCUGCCCUAGGACUCAUUCUAAUGCUGAAUAGAUUAUCUCCCUCACAGUGGGAUAGAUAGAAAUCUAAAAUAGGUUCCUGGGACCUAGAUGUAGCAUGGCAUUGUUGUAAAUGUUUUAAAGGAAAAAUACAGACAGAACUGUCUAGGAAAAGUUGAAAAGGGGGAAACACUUGCAAUUGGGGAUGAAAGGGAUGUAACUACAAUUUCAUGGAAGAGGUGGUCAAGGAAAUUUAGGACAAGUGGUCAGCUAAGUGAUGGUCAGCUAAAUAGUCAGGGCUGGAGCUGUAGAAUUUUGGAUUUGAGUCGAUAUGAAGAUUUCAGCAGAUUGCCUGCAACUCCAGAUGAGUUCGCAAACAAUGAAUUUUUUGGUCUGGCACAUGGAUCUCCCUUUAGCAGUCAUCUACUAACCAAACACUGGAUCAGCACCUACUGGAAAAUAUUCAGGCCCAGAAUCUGAACUUGAAUUACACACUGAACAGCUUUCAGGUCUCUCCAUGUUCAGGAACAUGUUUGCCAGAAAACCUCCCUUUAAUUUGCAGAGGUCUUCACUGCACAGCUGAACAGCUGCAUAAGGGGAGAUUAUGGGCCAUCAAAAGCCAGAAGGAGCAUUCCAGGAAGAAGGAAGUUGAAGAGGAAAAGGAUGAUUUGGUUUGGGGAUACUGUUGGAAAAAUACUGUUGAGAGCUUCUGGAGGGAGAUGUCCAUAUUCAGUCAGCCAGCGUAUCCUGCGAAAUUGAUACCUCUGAACGAGUCAAUCCAAUAGAGCCCAGACCUGGUGGAAUAGAAAGAUUUAAUCCCCUGAUGUGGAAAUGAACUAAAAAGGGAGAGUAAAAGGGUGUACCUCAAUUCUUGGCUUUUUCCCAUGUUCCUUUUCUUCUAAGCCAGUGAAAUCCACCCACUAUUAUAGAAGAUGAUGAAUAAAGCAGGCCCUUUGGUACA
Molecule: long non-coding RNA, 1387 nt
Filed under: Phascolarctos cinereus (koala)
Lineage: Eukaryota; Metazoa; Chordata; Mammalia; Diprotodontia; Phascolarctidae
Description: lncRNA (ENSPCIG00000031280.1)
Source: RNAcentral